ACUGGGAUAGUUUAACCAAAACAUCAGUUUGUGGCACCGAAGAUCAGAGCUUUCUGCCCCAGUA
Molecule: transfer RNA, 64 nt
Filed under: Boccardiella hamata
Lineage: Eukaryota; Metazoa; Annelida; Polychaeta; Spionida; Spionidae
Description: tRNA-His
Source: RNAcentral